This 474-nucleotide ribosomal RNA is filed under the name uncultured bacterium. RNAcentral describes it as "bacterial SSU rRNA". It matches the Rfam family "Bacterial small subunit ribosomal RNA", at positions 328 to 793 of the family's 1533-position model. The record is from RNAcentral.
GAGCCAGACUCCUACGGGAGGCAGCAGUGGGGAAUAUUGCACAAUGGGCGCAAGCCUGAUGCAGCCAUGCCGCGUGUAUGAAGAAGGCCUUCGGGUUGUAAAGUACUUUCAGUCGGGAGGAAGGUGUCAAGGUUAAUAACCUUGGCAAUUGACGUUACCGACAGAAGAAGCACCGGCUAACUCCGUGCCAGCAGCCGCGGUAAUACGGAGGGUGCAAGCGUUAAUCGGAAUUACUGGGCGUAAAGCGCACGCAGGCGGUCUGUCAAGUCGGAUGUGAAAUCCCCGGGCUCAACCUGGGAACUGCAUUCGAAACUGGCAGGCUGGAGUCUUGUAGAGGGGGGUAGAAUUCCAGGUGUAGCGGUGAAAUGCGUAGAGAUCUGGAGGAAGACCGGUGGCGAAGGCGGCCCCCUGGACAAAGACUGACGCUCAGGUGCGAAAGCGUGGGGAGCAAACAGGAUUAGAUACCCUUGUAUG